GGGACUUGGAAUGAUAAUAGCGCUGUCUAGAGCAGACUAAAGCAACUUACUGUUUCUUCUAGAACAACUGAAAGUAGAAAUUCCAAAUCACAUCAUUUGUUCAGUAUGGUUCAAGCACAUUAAUAGAAUCCUAAAUUAUUGAUUCACGGCUGCAUGCAGAUGCACUGAUGGAGCUUGCGGCCAUGCUUAUCAAGGUUGACUGACAGUUUGUUGAAACUCUUAGAUAUACAAUCACAACAAAGACUAUUAAUAGAUUAAUGAUAAUUGAUAGUAAUUGGGCAAUCACACUAUUGUGUAGUUAGUUGUGAUGACAACAACUCAUACAAGGCACUGAUUAGUAAAAGAACGUUAUACAUUUUUCAUGUUUACAAAUGAGAUUGAUGUUCUUUCUCAUACUGUGGCAGCAAUAUAGGUCAGAAGUAUGUUGUAGUCAUUAUUAAUUAUUGCUUUUGCUGUACAAAAUGGAUGUGGACAUGGCAAAA
Molecule: long non-coding RNA, 482 nt
Organism: Corticium candelabrum
Lineage: Eukaryota; Metazoa; Porifera; Homoscleromorpha; Homosclerophorida; Plakinidae
Exons: 3
Source: RefSeq, a predicted model, not a curated record